Molecule: long non-coding RNA, 869 nt
Organism: Rhagoletis zephyria (snowberry fruit fly)
Lineage: Eukaryota; Metazoa; Arthropoda; Insecta; Diptera; Tephritidae
Source: RefSeq, a predicted model, not a curated record
UCAAACCGGUGGUGCGGCAACAGCCCAAGCAACCAAGUAAUCUUCGAGUAUCCGCUCUUGACUCUUUAGUGCUCACCAAUGGCGCUACUCGACGUGAUCGAUCGAGUGUGUUAGUUAAGAGUAGUAUUUGUCUGCUUACUCUGCCUUAAAUAUAAAAUACAAAAAAUUGUUAAUAAUAAAAUAGUCGAAAUACUACAGUCGCGAGCGUAGGAAUAACGUCGCAACGCGCUUGCUCAAAAAACAACAACAACAACAACAACAAGGUGGAGAAACUAUAAACGCAAACAAACGAGAUUGGACGGACGGACGGACCGCGCCUAACAGUGCUGUACCGCAGCUCCUCGACCUAGCUGCAUAGAGGGUCGGCCGUUGGAGGCAGUACGAAUCACAAAUUGUCUGUGUACGGCAUAUAAAAUAAGCAUGUGGGAAAAUACGCUUGCGUUUACGCAGCAAAGCGCAUAGCGCAACGUUCCGUACAGUGGUGGCGAAAGUGAAUGCCAAAGUGUAUAUUUUGCGACAAAUAGUGAGGAGAAGAAAGAAAGCAAAAGAAUUUGGCGUUACUUCCGCGUGUAAAUCAUAGAAAAUAUUUAGCGAAAAAAAAAAGAAAAUAAUAAUUAAACGGAAAUUAAGUGAAUUGUAUAUCCAAAUUGCGUGCAAUCAAAGCAGCUGCUAGAUUUUUUUGUUAACGAAAAGUGUAAUUAAAAAAUUAGUGCGAGAAGGAGAAAAAUUUUUUGGACGCCUGACAUUUUGUGGAAAAAGUGGCGAAUCCACGAAAGCAGAAAUACACAAAAAGGUGGCGUACUCACGUAUGGCUACUAAGUAGCAGGAAAAAGCAAAGCCAAUAAAAUAAAUGCGAAUAAAAUUAGUAA